This 2248-nucleotide ribosomal RNA is filed under the name Clostridioides difficile. RNAcentral's name for it is "bacterial LSU rRNA". It matches the Rfam family "Bacterial large subunit ribosomal RNA", at positions 3 to 2272 of the family's 2925-position model. Lineage: Bacteria; Bacillati; Bacillota; Clostridia; Peptostreptococcales; Peptostreptococcaceae. The record is from RNAcentral.
UCAAGUUAUUAAGGGUGCAGGGCGGAUGCCUUGGCACUAGGAGCCGAUGAAGGACGUGAUAAGCUGCGAUAAGCUUCGGGGAGUUGCACGUAAACUUUGAUCCGAAGAUUUCCGAAUGAGGAAACUCACUUAGAGUAAUGUCUAAGUAUCAUUAAGUGAAUACAUAGCUUAAUGAGGGGAACUCAGGGAACUGAAACAUCUAAGUACCUGAAGGAAGAGAAAGAAAUUCGAUUCCGUAAGUAGCGGCGAGCGAACGCGGAUUAGCCCAAACCAAUAAAGUUUUCUUUAUUGGGGUUGAGGACAUACCACAUAUAAGAGGUCAUUAUAGACGAAGAAGUUUGGAAAAACUCAUCAUAGAAGGUAAUAAUCCUGUAGUCAAAAUAAUAAUUCUUUAGGUAUGAUCCAGAGUACCACGGGACACGUGAAACCCUGUGGGAAGCAGGAGGGACCACCCUCCAAGGCUAAAUACUACCUAGUGACCGAUAGCGUAUAGUACCGUGAGGGAAAGGUGAAAAGAACCCCGGGAGGGGAGUGAAAUAGAACCUGAAACCCUGCACUUACAAGCUGUGGAAGCACAUUUCUUGUGUGACCGCGUACUUUUUGUAGAACGGGCCAACGAGUUACGUUAAGUAGCAAGGUUAAGCACUUAAGGUGUGGAGCCGUAGCGAAAGCGAGUUUUAACUGAGCGUUCAGUUACUUGACGUAGACCCGAAACCGGGCGACCUACCCAUGAGCAGGAUGAAGCGAAAGUAAAAUUUCGUGGAGGUCCGAACCCACGAGCGUUGAAAAGCUCGGGGAUGACUUGUGGGUAGCGGUGAAAUUCCAAUCGAGCCCGGAGAUAGCUGGUUCUCCCCGAAAUAGCUUUAGGGCUAGCCUCAAGGUGAGAGAUACGGAGGUAGAGCACUGAAUGUCCUAGGGGGUAUUGCACCUACCGAAGACUAUCAAACUCCGAAUGCCGUCAUCUUAUACUUGGGAGUCAGACUGUGGGUGAUAAGAUUCAUAGUCGAAAGGGCAACAGCCCAGAUCGUCAGCUAAGGUCCCUAAAUGUAAGUUAAGUGGUAAAGGAUGUGGGAUUGCACAGACAACCAGGAUGUUGGCUUAGAAGCAGCCACUCAUUCAAAGAGUGCGUAAUAGCUCACUGGUCGAGUGAUCCUGCGCCGAAGAUUUCCGGGGCUAAAACUUACUACCGAAGCUACGGCAUCAGUAAUGAUGGGUAGGGGAGCUUCCCAUACGGGUUGAAGCAUGACCGUAAGGACAUGUGGACAGUAUGGGAGUGAGAAUGUUGGCAUGAGUAGCGAGAUGUGGGUGAGAAUCCCACAGGCCGUAAACCCAAGGUUUCCAGGGGAAGGUUCGUCCGCCCUGGGUUAGUCGGGACCUAAGCUGAGGCCGAAAGGCGUAGGUGAUGGACAACAGGUUGAUAUUCCUGUACUACCGAUAACCGUUUGAGAGAAGGGAUGACACAGUAGGAUAAGCUAAGCACACUGUUGGUUAUGUGUGCCCAAGCAUUGAGGCAGUCAAAGUAGGCAAAUCCGCUUUGAUAAUGCUGGGAUGUGAUGGGGAGCGAAAUUUAGUAGCGAAGUAGCUGAUUUCACACUGUCAAGAAAAGUCUCUAUCGAGGUUAAAGGUACCCGUACCGCAAACCGACACAGGUGGGUGAGGAGAGUAUCCUAAGGCCAGCGAGAGAACUGUUGUUAAGGAACUCGGCAAAAUGACCCCGUAACUUAGGGAUAAGGGGUGCCACCAUCAGGUGGCCGCAGAGAAUAGGCCCAAGCGACUGUUUACCAAAAACAUAGGUUUCUGCUAAGUCGCAAGAUGAUGUAUAGGAGCUGACGCCUGCCCGGUGCUGGAAGGUUAAGGGGAUCUGUUAGAGCAAUCGAAGCAGUGAACUUAAGCCCCAGUAAACGGCGGCCGUAACUAUAACGGUCCUAAGGUAGCGAAAUUCCUUGUCGGGUAAGUUCCGACCCGCACGAAAGGCGUAACGAUUUGGGCACUGUCUCAACAACAGACUCGGUGAAAUUGUAAUUCCGGUGAAGAUGCCGGAUACCUGCGACAGGACGGAAAGACCCCAUGGAGCUUUACUGUAGCUUGACAUUGGGUUUUGGUACUACAUGUACAGGAUAGGUGGGAGGCUUUGAAACCAGGACGCCAGUUUUGGCGGAGCCAUCCUUGGGAUACCACCCUUGUAGUACUGGGACUCUAACCAUAGGCCAUGAAUCUGGUCUUGGGACACUGUCAGGUGGGCAGUUUG